Molecule: ribosomal RNA, 311 nt
Filed under: uncultured eukaryote
Lineage: Eukaryota
Description: partial 18S ribosomal RNA
Rfam family: Eukaryotic small subunit ribosomal RNA
Source: RNAcentral
CCCCUAGACGUUCUGGGCUGCACGCGCGCUACAAUAAUACGCACAGCGAGUAUCACCGAGCUCGGAAGGGCAAGGUAAACAAUAGAAAAGGUACUGUAAUGGUUAUAGAUCCUUGUAAUUAUUGAUCUUCAACGAGGAAUUCCUAGUAAGUAUGUGUCAUCAUCACGCACUGAUUACGUCCCUGCCCUUUGUACACACCGCCCGUCGCUCCUACCGAUUGAGUGAGCCGAUGAAACUGCCGGAUGUGGACUAUUCAUAGUCUGCAGAAGAUAUUUGAAUCGUAGCGCUUAGAGGAAGGAGAAGUCGUAACA